UACGUAGGGCCCAAGCGUUGUUCGGAUUUACUGGGCGUAAAGGGCGCGUAGGCGGCAAUUCAAGUCAUCUGUGAAAUCUCCGGGCUUAACUCGGAACGGUCAGAUGAUACUGCUUUGCUCGAGUGCGGAAGGGGCAAUCGGAAUUCUUGGUGUAGCGGUGAAAUGCGUAGAUAUCAAGAGGAACACCUGAGGUGAAGACGGGUUGCUGGGCCGACACUGACGCUGAAGCGCGAAAGCCAGGGGAGCAAACGGG
Molecule: ribosomal RNA, 253 nt
Filed under: uncultured bacterium
Lineage: Bacteria
Description: partial 16S ribosomal RNA
Rfam family: Bacterial small subunit ribosomal RNA
Source: RNAcentral